CUACGGGGGGCUGCAGGCGAGAAAACUUUGCAAUGUGCGAAAGCACGACAAGGUUAAUCCGAGUGGUUUCUGCUAAAGGAACCUUUUGACAGUCCUAGAAACACUGUUGAAUAGGGGGUGGGCAAGUUCUGGUGUCAGCCGCCGCGGUAAAACCAGCACCUCAAGUGGUCAGGAUGAUUAUUGGGCCUAAAGCAUCCGUAGCCGGCUCUGUAAGUUUUCGGUUAAAUCUGUACGCUCAACGUACAGGCUGCCGGGAAUACUGCAGAGCUAGGGAGUGGGAGAGGUAGACGGUACUCGGUAGGAAGGGGUAAAAUCCUUUGAUCUAUUGAUGACCACCUGUGGCGAAAGCGGUCUACCAGAACACGUCCGACGGUGAGGGAUGAAAGCUGGGGGAGCAAACCGGAUUAGAUACCCGCGUAGUC
Molecule: ribosomal RNA, 422 nt
Filed under: uncultured archaeon
Lineage: Archaea
Description: partial 16S ribosomal RNA
Rfam family: Archaeal small subunit ribosomal RNA
Source: RNAcentral